RNAcentral lists this unclassified non-coding RNA (734 nucleotides) under Hevea brasiliensis (rubber tree). The record is from RNAcentral. Lineage: Eukaryota; Viridiplantae; Streptophyta; Magnoliopsida; Malpighiales; Euphorbiaceae.
GCUUGUGGCCUCGCUACCCACUACUCAUUAAAUGCGAGACUUGCUUUAAUUGAGGAACGCCUUGGUAGAUUAAUCACAGAUGAUCGUACUGUAAUAGAGACUUCUCUUGCGCAGUAUGGUGAUCUUGUCUAUCCAGAUAAGACGAGCGUCCUUCAUAAGAUUGAGACAAUUGAUAAAUGUUUUAGUCAUGAUACAGUAGAGGAAAUUAUUGAUGCACUGGAAAAUGAGGCAUCUAGUUCUUAUGAGAACUGGUGUAAAGAAGCACUCAGAAAAAUGAAAGAAGCCUCCCCGCUAAGCUUAAAAGUUGCCUUGCGAUCCAUACGAGAAGGUAGAUUUCAAUCGCUGGAUCAAUGUUUAGCUCAUGAAUAUCGAGUAUCCCUCACUGGAAUCUCCAAAACAGUCUCUACUGACUUGUUUGAGGGUAUUCGGGCGCGAUUAUUGGAUAAGGAUUUUGCUCCAAAGUGGAACCCUCCAAGUUUAGGUGAAGUAAGUGAAGACAUGGUAGAUUGCCAUUUCUCCCCUCUUGGUGAGCUUGAACCGGAGCUGGAGCUGCCCACAGCAAUACGAGAACCUUAUAUCUGAGUUAGAUCAAUCUAGAGAGGAUAAUAGCAAAUGCUAGGUUCACAAAUGACAAUACUAGUUUUUGCUCCCUGUGAUGCAGGAUGAGUGGUAAUUGACCCAUUGAAACGUUUUCCAGAGAAUUGUUUCCCAGCAUAAUGUGUUGUAAUAGCCAG